RNAcentral lists this ribosomal RNA (497 nucleotides) under uncultured bacterium. RNAcentral's name for it is "partial 16S ribosomal RNA". It matches the Rfam family "Bacterial small subunit ribosomal RNA", at positions 28 to 507 of the family's 1533-position model. The record is from RNAcentral.
GAUGAACGCUGGCGGCGUGCCUAAUACAUGCAAGUAGAACGCUGAAGGAAGGAGCUUGCUCUUUCCGGAUGAGUUGCGAACGGGUGAGUAACGCGUAGGUAACCUGCCUGGUAGCGGGGGAUAACUAUUGGAAACGAUAGCUAAUACCGCAUAACAGUAGAUGUUGCAUGAUAUCUACUUAAAAGGUGCAAUUGCACCACUACCAGAUGGACCUGCGUUGUAUUAGCUAGUUGGUGAGGUAACGGCUCACCAAGGCGACGAUACAUAGCCGACCUGAGAGGGUGAGCGGCCACACUGGGACUGAGACCCGGCCCAGACUCCUACGGGAGGCAGCAGUAGGGAAUCUUCGGCAAUGGGCGGAAGUCUGACCGAGCAACGCCGCGUGAGUGAAGAAGGUUGUCGGAUCGUAAAGCUCUGUUGUAAGAGAAGAACGAGUGUGAGAGUGGAAAGUUCACACUGUGACGGUAUCUUACCAGAAAGGGACGGCUAACUACGUG